Molecule: transfer RNA, 73 nt
Filed under: Pajaroellobacter abortibovis
Lineage: Bacteria; Pseudomonadati; Myxococcota; Polyangiales; Polyangiaceae
Rfam family: tRNA
About the family: Transfer RNA (tRNA) molecules are approximately 80 nucleotides in length. Their secondary structure includes four short double-helical elements and three loops (D, anti-codon, and T loops).
Source: Rfam by way of RNAcentral
AGGGGUUUAGCUCAGCUGGUAGAGCAGCGGACUCCAAAUCCGCCGGUCGGGGGUUCGAGUCCCUCAGCCCCUG